Triticum aestivum (bread wheat) is the source of this 125-nucleotide non-coding RNA. The record is from Rfam. NCBI's taxonomy places the organism in Eukaryota, Viridiplantae, Streptophyta, Magnoliopsida, Poales, Poaceae.
UAAGUACUGCCUCCGUCCAGAAAUACUUGUCCGAGAUAUGGAUAAAAAUGGAUGUAUCCAAAACUAAAAUACAUCUAGAUACGUCCAUUUCUUCGACAAGUAUUUUCGGAGGGAGGGAGUAUUCA